CGCGUACCAGAGGAGUUAGAGCGCGUGAAAUACACGCGCCUACGCGUUCCACGCGCUCCAGUGAUGUUCUGGCGCGUGAAUAACACGCGCCUACGCGCUGUUAGUCGCGCCACGUGCUGCACGCGCGACAGUGUUCCUGUUUUGGUUCUUUUGCUCAUUCCUUGUGCUAUCUGAGUCCGAUUUUGACAAAACAAGACUCGUUUCCAACAAAAUCAAGCGUUCCGGACACAACGGUGCUGUCCGUUUUACGAUAUUCCAUUUCAA
Juglans microcarpa x Juglans regia is the source of this 264-nucleotide long non-coding RNA. RefSeq lists it as uncharacterized. The record is from RefSeq and is a predicted model, not a curated record. Lineage: Eukaryota; Viridiplantae; Streptophyta; Magnoliopsida; Fagales; Juglandaceae. The transcript has 3 exons.